RNAcentral lists this small nucleolar RNA (131 nucleotides) under Castor canadensis (American beaver). RNAcentral's name for it is "Small nucleolar RNA SNORA51 (ENSCCNG00000012492.1)". It matches the Rfam family "Small nucleolar RNA SNORA51". From Rfam's summary of the family: ACA51 is a member of the H/ACA class of snoRNA that guide the sites of modification of uridines to pseudouridines. Lineage: Eukaryota; Metazoa; Chordata; Mammalia; Rodentia; Castoridae. The record is from Rfam by way of RNAcentral.
GGCCUCCUGGUACUUACCACAUUCUGCAUUCUUACACUAACUGUAUAGGAAAAGGAGACAAACUAAACCUACCCCACAUACACCUCAGGCCAGGUCCUGUGCUUAGUCUAUAUUGUGAAUGGGAGACAUGG